UAUCUCUGUAGAGUCUGCAUAUCAAUAAGCGGAGGAAAAGAAACUAACAAGGAUUCCCCUAGUAACGGCGAGUGAAGCGGGAAGAGCUCAAAUUUGAAAUCUUAAAGGGUUUCCCUUUACGAAUUGUAGUUUAAAGAAGUGUUUUCUGUUGAAGUUUCGGUAAAAGUUCUUUGGAAUAGGACAUCAUAGAGGGUGAGAAUCCCGUAUUUGACCGUUAUUUUCAGCUGUGUGAUACACUUUCAAAGAGUCGGAUUGUUUGGGAAUGCAGUCCAAAAUGGGUGGUAAAUUUCAUCUAAAGCUAAAUAUUGGCGAGAGACCGAUAGCGAACAAGUACCGUGAGGGAAAGAUGAAAAGAACUUUGAAAAGAGAGUUAAACAGUACGUGAAAUUGUCAAAAGGGAAGCGUUUGACACCAGUGUUGUUUUCUCGAAAAUCAAUUAAAAAAAGUUGGAUUUUGUAUUGUUAAGACCUUAUCAGCUUACUGUACUCUUUUCUUGCUUUUUUUAAUGCACUUUUCGUUUAACAAGUCAACAUCAAUUUCUUUUGUUGUAAAAGAGUCAUUGGAAGGUGGCUUUCACUUCGGUGAAAGUGUUUAUAGCCUUUGGCUUCUGCAAUCGGAGAGAUUGAGGUCUGCAGCGUAGAUCCUUCGGGGCUAGAUACGUUAGAUGCUAAGUUAUAGCUUUUUCAUAGACAACUUGUUGACUAUAAUUUAAUCAUUGUAGCUUACUCGCUUGACGCUAUUUUACCUACGCUUAGGAUGUUGAUAUGCAUGACUGAUAU
Molecule: ribosomal RNA, 779 nt
Filed under: uncultured Neocallimastigales
Lineage: Eukaryota; Fungi; Neocallimastigomycota; Neocallimastigomycetes; Neocallimastigales
Description: partial large subunit ribosomal RNA
Rfam family: Eukaryotic large subunit ribosomal RNA
Source: RNAcentral